AGCCCUGUAGUGUAGCGGUCUAUCACUAAUGGUUCUGGGCCAUUAAACCCAGGUUCAAAUCCUGGCAGGGCUA
RNAcentral lists this transfer RNA (73 nucleotides) under Nanobdellota archaeon. Its description in RNAcentral is "tRNA-Gln". It matches the Rfam family "tRNA". Rfam says of the family: Transfer RNA (tRNA) molecules are approximately 80 nucleotides in length. The record is from RNAcentral. Lineage: Archaea; Nanobdellati; Nanobdellota.